AUGGCUCAGAUUGAACGCUGGCGGCAGGCCUAACACAUGCAAGUCGAGCGGAAACGACACUAACAAUCCUUCGGGUGCGUUAAUGGGCGUCGAGCGGCGGACGGGUGAGUAAUGCCUAGGAAAUUGCCUUGAUGUGGGGGAUAACCAUUGGAAACGAUGGCUAAUACCGCAUAAUGCCUACGGGCCAAAGAGGGGGACCUUCGGGCCUCUCGCGUCAAGAUAUGCCUAGGUGGGAUUAGCUAGUUGGUGAGGUAAUGGCUCACCAAGGCGACGAUCCCUAGCUGGUCUGAGAGGAUGAUCAGCCACACUGGAACUGAGACACGGUCCAGACUCCUACGGGAGGCAGCAGUGGGGAAUAUUGCACAAUGGGCGAAAGCCUGAUGCAGCCAUGCCGCGUGUAUGAAGAAGGCCUUCGGGUUGUAAAGUACUUUCAGUUGUGAGGAAGGGGGUAGCGUUAAUAGCGCUAUCUCUUGACGUUAGCAACAGAAGAAGCACCGGCUAACUCCGUGCCAGCAGCCGCGGUAAUAC
This 528-nucleotide ribosomal RNA is filed under the name uncultured marine bacterium. RNAcentral describes it as "bacterial SSU rRNA". It matches the Rfam family "Bacterial small subunit ribosomal RNA", at positions 19 to 526 of the family's 1533-position model. The record is from RNAcentral.